CCUACGGGUGGCAGCAGUGAGGAAUAUUGGUCAAUGGGCGGGAGCCUGAACCAGCCAAGUCGCGUGAGGGAAGACGGUCCUACGGAUUGUAAACCUCUUUUGCCGGGGAGCAACGGGGUCCUUGCGAGGGCCCGAUGAGAGUACCCGGAGACAAAGCAUCGGCUAACUCCGUGCCAGCAGCCGCGGUAAUACGGAGGAUGCGAGCGGUAUCCGGAUUUAUUGGGUUUAAAGGGUGCGUAGGCGGGCUGUUAAGUCAGCGGUCAAAUGUCGGGGCUCAACCCCGGCCUGCCGUUGAAACUGGCGGCCUCGAGUGGGCGAGAAGUAUGCGGAAUGCGUGGUGUAGCGGUGAAAUGCAUAGAUAUCACGCAGAACUCCGAUUGCGAAGGCGACCUACUGGAACAUUACUGACGCUCAUGCACGAAAGCGUGGGGAGCAAACAGGAUUAGAUACCCGUGUAGUC
Molecule: ribosomal RNA, 460 nt
Filed under: uncultured bacterium
Lineage: Bacteria
Description: partial 16S ribosomal RNA
Rfam family: Bacterial small subunit ribosomal RNA
Source: RNAcentral